CGUAGGUGAACCUGCGGAAGGAUCAUUGUCGAGCAUUGUUUAGCAUCACGUGACAUGUGAACGUGUAAAGUUUUGAAAAAGAAUCAGGGUAUUCUUAGUUUCAUAUUAUAGUUGAUCUUGCGGUUAUAAUCCUAAUGGGGCAUAAUUUUAUGUCAAGUUAAACAAGUUAAGUUGUUUAGUCCAUAUAACGUGGAAAGAACAUGUUUUAAUUUGGACCAUGAUGACUCAUAGCAAUGGAUAUCUUGGCUCUCGCAACGAUGAAGAACGUAGCAAGAUGCGAUACUUGGUGUGAAUUGCAGAAUCUCGUGAAACAUUGAUUCUUUGAACGCAAGUUGCGCCCGAAAUCUUCGGGUUUAGGGCUCGUCUACGUGGGCAUCGCCUCUUUUGAUGCCAUUGAAAGUAAGUUCUUUCAUUUAUUGACAAUAUGCAUGAGGGCGUACAAUGGUUUCCCGUGCGAUGCACGGUUUGCUAUAAAUUUGGACGUCCUAGGGACGCACGAUAUUAAUGGUGGAUAAUAUGAGUGGUGUUGAUCCCAUUUAUUGUGUACUCAUGAGUACUGUCUUUUGAAUGCAUGCGGGCAAAAUCUAAAAAAAUAUAAACAAGCGUGACCCCAUGUUGGGCGAGACUACCCGCUGAGUUUAAGCAUAUCAAUAA
RNAcentral lists this ribosomal RNA (654 nucleotides) under Voyria obconica. Its description in RNAcentral is "eukaryotic LSU rRNA". The stretch from base 223 to 378 matches the Rfam family "5.8S ribosomal RNA". The record is from RNAcentral. Lineage: Eukaryota; Viridiplantae; Streptophyta; Magnoliopsida; Gentianales; Gentianaceae.